This 789-nucleotide ribosomal RNA is filed under the name Campylobacter jejuni. RNAcentral's name for it is "bacterial SSU rRNA". It matches the Rfam family "Bacterial small subunit ribosomal RNA", at positions 208 to 988 of the family's 1533-position model. Lineage: Bacteria; Pseudomonadati; Campylobacterota; Epsilonproteobacteria; Campylobacterales; Campylobacteraceae. The record is from RNAcentral.
UUGGCUAUCACUCUGGGAUGGACCUGCGGUGCAUUAGCUAGUUGGUAAGGUAACGGCUUACCAAGGCGAUGAUGCAUAGCCGAGUUGAGAGACUGAUCGGCCACAAUGGAACUGAGACACGGUCCAUACUCCUACGGGAGGCAGCAGUAGGGAAUCUUCCACAAUGGGCGCAAGCCUGAUGGAGCAACACCGCGUGAGUGAAGAAGGGUUUCGGCUCGUAAAGCUCUGUUGUUGGAGAAGAACGUGCGUGAGAGUAACUGUUCACGCAGUGACGGUAUCCAACCAGAAAGUCACGGCUAACUACGUGCCAGCAGCCGCGGUAAUACGUAGGUGGCAAGCGUUAUCCGGAUUUAUUGGGCGUAAAGCGAGCGCAGGCGGUUGCUUAGGUCUGAUGUGAAAGCCUUCGGCUUAACCGAAGAAGUGCAUCGGAAACCGGGCGACUUGAGUGCAGAAGAGGACAGUGGAACUCCAUGUGUAGCGGUGGAAUGCGUAGAUAUAUGGAAGAACACCAGUGGCGAAGGCGGCUGUCUGGUCUGCAACUGACGCUGAGGCUCGAAAGCAUGGGUAGCGAACAGGAUUAGAUACCCUGGUAGUCCAUGCCGUAAACGAUGAGUGCUAGGUGUUGGAGGGUUUCCGCCCUUCAGUGCCGGAGCUAACGCAUUAAGCACUCCGCCUGGGGAGUACGACCGCAAGGUUGAAACUCAAAGGAAUUGACGGGGGCCCGCACAAGCGGUGGAGCAUGUGGUUUAAUUCGAAGCUACGCGAAGAACCUUACCAGGUCUUGACAUC